AUUGAACGCUGGCGGCAUGCUUUGCACAUGCAAGUCGAACGGUAACAGGCCGCAAGGUGCUGACGAGUGGCGAACGGGUGAGUAAUGCAUCGGAACGUGCCCAGUCGUGGGGGAUAACUACUCGAAAGAGUAGCUAAUACCGCAUACGAUCUAUGGAUGAAAGCGGGGGACCGUAAGGCCUCGCGCGAUUGGAGCGGCCGAUGUCAGAUUAGGUAGUUGGUGGGGUAAAGGCUCACCAAGCCAACGAUCUGUAGCUGGUCUGAGAGGACAACCAGCCACACUGGGACUGAGACACGGCCCAGACUCCUACGGGAGGCAGCAGUGGGGAAUUUUGGACAAUGGGCGCAAGCCCGAUCCAGCAAUGCCGCGUGCAGGAAGAAGGCCUUCGGGUUGUAAACUGCUUUUGUACGGAACGAAACGGCUCUGGUUAAUACCCGGGGCUAAUGACGGUACCGUAAGAAUAAGCACCGGCUAACUACGUG
This 482-nucleotide ribosomal RNA is filed under the name uncultured bacterium. Its description in RNAcentral is "partial 16S ribosomal RNA". It matches the Rfam family "Bacterial small subunit ribosomal RNA", at positions 30 to 507 of the family's 1533-position model. The record is from RNAcentral.